GAGACGGCAAAAACCUCAAUAGCCACCAGAAACAAAAAAAGAAAGAGAUCGCUUCAUUCUGCCUCCUUUCUGGUGAUCCAUCCAUCGCUCUCGUUCACCGUUUAGCCCUUCAAUGGUAAUAUGAACCGCAUCAUUGAUGAGGGAGGCAUGGCUUCAGCAUCUUUUUAAAGUCAUUCAGAGCUAUUGUUAUUGAAGACACGCUUCACCUUCUUGUGAAGGUUAACGGAGGACACAGCGGUAGUUUCCUUUCCCUUGCAUACUGAGGCUCUUGGAUUUGCUCACAAUGAGGAAAGGAUGAUUCAGACAGCAAUAUUAUAUGCAUGAACUCUUGAUACCUACAAUGGUGUAGUUCUGUUCUUGCUGCGUUGGAUUUAUAUACAUAUUCUGCAAUCAAUACCUGUAUGUCUUACAUUGUCAUCUUCAAAUUGAUGGUGAAAGACGUGCAAUCGACGAAUUUGCUGGUUUUAUCCACUAUCCUUCCUGAUCUUGGAUCUUAGAUAAAUGUCUCAACGAAGGGAAUGUAUCUGAUGGCCAUUGAUGAUGCUAAAGCUUUUUCUUGACAAUUAGUUGAUGCGGGAAUCAUAAUGGUCAUGUGUUGUGCUUCUAUUCAAAGGAGCAGAGACGGAGAGUAUUAUGAGAGCUGUUUUUGUUUUCGUUUGGCUGAUUGCAGGUGCAGUUCUAAUAUUAGUUGCUUUACUGCUGCUGGGAUUUUUGUUUCAAAAGGAGCAGCAUAUGGAAGUGAAACAUCUUUCUUUUCUCUUGGCAGAGGAUGGUUGAUAUGGUGAAGCCAUGAAGGAGCAAGCCACUGCAAUUUGUUGGAUCAAGCGGCUGAGGAACCUUUGGUCUCCGUGAUUUAGAAUCUUGUGGAGGUGAAUUUAUGCUUACCCCGGUGCUUCAGAAUGGUUCUGGAUUAGGAGAAAGCUGAGGUGAUUAAAGCUGAGAUGAUGAGUGAUUUUUUUUUAUACUAUCUUUUCUCCGGUUUUUUUUUUUUUUUUUCCGGUUGUCUUGCCCCCUCUCUUUUGGAUGACUUUUCAUUUCACUAGCGUGGAUAUGGUAAUCUGCGUACACUAACAACAAAAGAACUGGUGAUUAGUGAAGCAUGAAAGAGUUAAAAAGUGUGUAUCUUGUGUUGUAUUCUUGGCACACUGACUUGUAGAUUCUUUAGACAGAUUUAAUUUUUGACCCCAUGUAAUUUUUUUUUUGUUGCGAUA
Long non-coding RNA from Prosopis cineraria, 1211 nucleotides. RefSeq lists it as uncharacterized. Lineage: Eukaryota; Viridiplantae; Streptophyta; Magnoliopsida; Fabales; Fabaceae. The record is from RefSeq and is a predicted model, not a curated record. The transcript is spliced from 7 exons.